GAUGAACGCUGGCGGCGUGCUUAACACAUGCAAGUCGAACGAAGAUAUUUAGAAUGAGAGCUUCGGCAGGAUUUUUAUCUAUCUUAGUGGCGGACGGGUGAGUAACGUGUGGGCAACCUGCCCUGUACUGGGGAAUAAUCAUUGGAAACGAUGACUAAUACCGCAUGUGGUCCUCGGAAGGCAUCUUCUGAGGAAGAAAGGAUUUAUUCGGUACAGGAUGGGCCCGCAUCUGAUUAGCUAGUUGGUGAGAUAACAGCCCACCAAGGCGACGAUCAGUAGCCGACCUGAGAGGGUGAUCGGCCACAUUGGGACUGAGACACGGCCCAAACUCCUACGGGAGGCAGCAGUGGGGAAUAUUGCACAAUGGGCGAAAGCCUGAUGCAGCAACGCCGCGUGAAGGAUGAAGGGUUUCGGCUCGUAAACUUCUAUCAAUAGGGAAGAAACAAAUGACGGUACCUAAAUAAGAAGCCCCGGCUAACUACGUGCCAGCAGCCGCGGUAAUACGUAGGGGGCAAGCGUUAUCCGGAAUUACUGGGUGUAAAGGGAGCGUAGGCGGCAUGGUAAGCCAGAUGUGAAAGCCUUGGGCUUAACCCGAGGAUUGCAUUUGGAACUAUCAAGCUAGAGUACAGGAGAGGAAAGCGGAAUUCCUAGUGUAGCGGUGAAAUGCGUAGAUAUUAGGAAGAACACCAGUGGCGAAGGCGGCUUUCUGGACUGAAACUGACGCUGAGGCUCGAAAGCGUGGGGAGCANACAGG
RNAcentral lists this ribosomal RNA (754 nucleotides) under uncultured bacterium. RNAcentral's name for it is "bacterial SSU rRNA". It matches the Rfam family "Bacterial small subunit ribosomal RNA", at positions 28 to 776 of the family's 1533-position model. The record is from RNAcentral.